RNAcentral lists this ribosomal RNA (454 nucleotides) under uncultured bacterium. RNAcentral's name for it is "bacterial SSU rRNA". It matches the Rfam family "Bacterial small subunit ribosomal RNA", at positions 340 to 786 of the family's 1533-position model. The record is from RNAcentral.
UACGGAAGGCAGCAGUGGGGAAUAUUGCACAAUGGGCGAAAGCCUGAUGCAGCUAUGCCGCGUGUAUGAAGAAGGCCUUAGGGUUGUAAAGUACUUUCAUCGGGGAGGAAAACAAAACUAAUAAUUUUAUUUCUUGACGUUACCCGAAAAAGAAGCACCGGCUAACUCCGUGCCAGCAGCCGCGGUAAUACGGAGGGUGCUAGCGUUAAUCAGAAUUACUGGGCGUAAAGAGCACGUAGGUGGUUUUUUUAAGUCAGAUGUGAAAUCCCUGGGCUUAACCUAGGAACUGCAUUUUGAAACUGAAAUACUAGAGUAUCGUAGAGGGAGGUAGAAUUCUAGGUGUAGCGGUGAAAUGCGUAGAUAUCUGGAGGAAUACCUGUGGCGAAAGCGGCCUCCUAAACGAAUACUGACACUGAGGUGCGAAAGCGUGGGGAGCAAACAGGGAUUAGAUACC